This 488-nucleotide ribosomal RNA is filed under the name uncultured bacterium. RNAcentral's name for it is "partial 16S ribosomal RNA". It matches the Rfam family "Bacterial small subunit ribosomal RNA", at positions 29 to 507 of the family's 1533-position model. The record is from RNAcentral.
AUGAACGCUAGCUACAGGCUUAACACAUGCCAGUCGAGGGGCAGCAUGAUUGAAGCUUGCUUCAAUCGAUGGCGACCGGCGCACGGGUGAGUAACACGUAUCCAACCUGCCGAUAACUCGGGGAUAGCCUUUCGAAAGAAAGAUUAAUACCCGAUAGUAUAGUAUUUCCGCAUGGUUUCACUAUUAAAGAACUUCGGUUAUCGAUGGGGAUGCGUUCCAUUAGAUAGUUGGCGGGGUAACGGCCCACCAAGUCAACGAUGGAUAGGGGUUCUGAGAGGAAGGUCCCCCACAUUGGAACUGAGACACGGUCCAAACUCCUACGGGAGGCAGCAGUGAGGAAUAUUGGUCAAUGGACGAGAGUCUGAACCAGCCAAGUAGCGUGAAGGAUGACUGCCCUAUGGGUUGUAAACUUCUUUUAUACGGGAAUAAAGUGGAGUAUGCAUACUCCUUUGUAUGUACCGUAUGAAUAAGGAUCGGCUAACUCCGUG